Molecule: long non-coding RNA, 837 nt
Filed under: Brassica napus (rape)
Lineage: Eukaryota; Viridiplantae; Streptophyta; Magnoliopsida; Brassicales; Brassicaceae
Description: long non-coding RNA (BNAP_LNC014887)
Source: RNAcentral
UAUAGGGUCUGGAAAUCUCCGACAAGACUUUGGUUUAGGGUUUAGUAACAUAUGUUAUAAUAUUGUUUGUAUUUAUGGUUUGAUUUUAGAAUCUUAACUUUUUUUAAAAAAAAAUUGAGCUACAUGUGUUUAGUUUUGUGUAUUAAACGCUAUAUAAGUUUAUUUAAGUUUAAUGAAUUGUUUUUGGCUAUUUAGUUACUUAUUUGAUUAGGUUAUGGUUUGGAAAACUUCUAGACGACUUCUCUGGCAGAUUUCCAGGAGACUUCCCAAGAAGUCUUCUCACAUAUUCUCGCCUAAAUUUUAGUAGAAUUUUAGUUUUCCACCUAAAGCGAAGUCGUCCAGAAGUCUUCUCAUGUAUUUGAUUUUAGGGUCUAGAAUACUUCCUUGGAAGUCUUCUUAUCGAAAAUAUUUAACCUAACUGGAAUAUUUGUCUCCAUAUAUAAAGAAAAUUUACACAUUCUCUUUCUUCCUCUCAAAUAGCUGCAACACAAAUAUAAUGUUUCUCACGUUGAACAUCAAAACAUCAAACUUUAAAUCCAUUUCUCAUUUUUUUCUUAUGUCUUCUCACUAAUUUAUUUUCUUUUUGUAGAUUUUUCAUUACAUGGUUCUCAUCUUUCACUCCUUCAAAGGUAGAUCUAUAAAUUUUGGAUAUGUAUUAUUGUGUCUUUUAUAUAUUAGAUUCCAAAAUGCUAUAGAUUCAACUUAAUGUGACUGUUUUAUUUAUUAUUUAAGCAUAAAAUUAUAUUUUUGAAACUUUUCUCUAUUUUGAAGUCAUUUGAAUGUUUUUGAAUUUGCUGAUUUUUCAGAUCUGAGACAGACUUUGAAAGAUUUCUCAGA